GAUGAACGCUGGCGGCGUGCCUAAUACAUGCAAGUCGAGCGAACAGACGAGAAGCUUGCUCCUCUGAUGUUAGCGGCGGACGGGUGAGUAACACGUGGAUAACCUACCUAUAAGACUGGGAUAACUUCGGAAAACCGGAGCUAAUACCGGAUAAUAUUUUGAACCGCAUGGUUCAAAAGUGAAAGACGGUCUUGCUGUCACUUAUAGAUGGAUCCGCGCUGCAUUAGCUAGUUGGUAAGGUAACGGCUUACCAAGGCAACGAUGCAUAGCCGACCUGAGAGGGUGAUCGGCCACACUGGAACUGAGACACGGUCCAGACUCCUACGGGAGGCAGCAGUAGGGAAUCUUCCGCAAUGGGCGAAAGCCUGACGGAGCAACGCCGCGUGAGUGAUGAAGGUCUUCGGAUCGUAAAACUCUGUUAUUAGGGAAGAACAAAUGUGUAAGUAACUAUGCACGUCUUGACGGUACCUAAUCAGAAAGCCACGGCUAACUACGUG
RNAcentral lists this ribosomal RNA (497 nucleotides) under uncultured bacterium. Its description in RNAcentral is "partial 16S ribosomal RNA". It matches the Rfam family "Bacterial small subunit ribosomal RNA", at positions 28 to 507 of the family's 1533-position model. The record is from RNAcentral.